Limanda limanda (common dab) is the source of this 453-nucleotide long non-coding RNA. RefSeq lists it as uncharacterized. The record is from RefSeq and is a predicted model, not a curated record. The transcript has 3 exons. NCBI's taxonomy places the organism in Eukaryota, Metazoa, Chordata, Actinopteri, Pleuronectiformes, Pleuronectidae.
GGGAAAGUGUUCAGACUCGUUCUAACAACAAGGAGCAGACGUGAAGUCUGAGGCUGGUGAGUGUUCAGCAACGUUAAUAUUAUUCAUUGUGUUUAAUAACAGAACCUGUUUUCACAAUCAUACGUUACAGCAGUGGUCACCAACCAGUGGAGAGUCUUCACUGUGGAUCCCAGUAAAGCUCUGGACUCACUGGCUGAGGUGUGAGGAGCAUCGACCUGCAGAGCCAGACUGAAGAUGAGUGGUUAUGAGGAGGAAGAGGAGGAAGAGGACAGAGCCGAGUCUCCAGGGUUCAGCUGUGUGUCUCUGAAGAGUAACUGGUCCAAAGAUGAUCCUCCAACCUUCAGUAAUGAACCUGGACCCUCACACACAAAAGGUCAGGACCAGAGACUGAGAGCAGAGUCUCCAGGGUCCAGCUGUCUGUCUCUGAAGAGUGACUGGUCCAUGUUUGAUCCU